GGUAGUUUUUAAAGAUACAACUUCAGAGACGACGAACAGCAGUCCUCCAGAAAGUACCCCCACAACUAUGAUUGUCUUGGUGGUGAUGUUUGGCUCCCUUUCACUUUUCUUUAGCAUCAUUCUCUUGGCUGUCAUUGAACAUGACUGGUCAUCAUUUACGAUCCGGGCAGGCUCAGAUUGAUGUGUGCGUUGGCACAAGAGAUCC
Molecule: long non-coding RNA, 205 nt
Organism: Acanthaster planci (crown-of-thorns starfish)
Lineage: Eukaryota; Metazoa; Echinodermata; Asteroidea; Valvatida; Acanthasteridae
Source: RefSeq, a predicted model, not a curated record